This 378-nucleotide non-coding RNA is filed under the name Kumanoa mahlacensis. Lineage: Eukaryota; Rhodophyta; Florideophyceae; Batrachospermales; Batrachospermaceae. The record is from RNAcentral.
GGGACUGUUAGGUUUCGACAUGUUAAUUUUACUUCUUAGAGUUAUAGAAAAUGCUGUAUGUUUAUGAUGAUUUCAUCAUGACUAAAAAACAAGUGCAAAAAAUCAUAUAAUACCUUUUUCUCGAAAACUAGUUGUUGUUUAAUAUAUAACAUUACAACGCAACAAUAGUUAUAUUUUGAGAAUCAGAUGCUUAAUCUGUGUUAACAUCUGGUUAUUAUUAAUUACAGUGCUCCUAACUUAUAUAUUUUUCAGAUUUAAGUUAACCUAGGUCAAGUAAAAAAAUGUGAAUAUUUUUCUUUGGCUAUUCUUUAUCUAUUUUGUUAUAGAUCUCUAGCAAGAUAAUUAGCAUGGACGUGGGUUCGAAUCCCACCAGUUCCA